AUCACCAACUAAUAAGUUAUUGAAUGAGAGAAAGUUAUAUAU
Molecule: non-coding RNA, 42 nt
Filed under: Trypanosoma brucei brucei
Lineage: Eukaryota; Euglenozoa; Kinetoplastea; Trypanosomatida; Trypanosomatidae
Source: RNAcentral